Molecule: ribosomal RNA, 381 nt
Filed under: uncultured eukaryote
Lineage: Eukaryota
Description: partial 18S ribosomal RNA
Rfam family: Eukaryotic small subunit ribosomal RNA
Source: RNAcentral
CAAUAGCGUAUAUUAAAGCUGUUGCGGUUAAAAAGCUCGUAGUUGGAUUUCUGUCAAGGACAACUGGUCCGCCCUCCGGGUGAGCACAUAGUUUGGUCUUGGCAUCUUGCUGGAAACUGUUGCUGUGCUUGGUUGUGUGGUGCAGCUUUCAGCACUUUCACUUUGAGGAAAUUGGAGUGUUUCAAGCAGGCACAUGCCUUUGGACACAGUAGCAUGGAAUAAUUAGAUUGGGCUUUUGCUCCAACUUGUUGGUUCCUGGAGCUGAGGUGAGAAUCAAUGGGGAUUGUUGGGGGCAUCCGAAUUUAGCCGUCAGAGGUGAAAUUCUUGGAUCUGCUAAAGACGGACAACUGCGAAAGCGUUUGCCCAGGAUGUUUUCAUUGA